RNAcentral lists this ribosomal RNA (230 nucleotides) under uncultured bacterium. RNAcentral describes it as "partial 16S ribosomal RNA". It matches the Rfam family "Bacterial small subunit ribosomal RNA", at positions 563 to 790 of the family's 1533-position model. The record is from RNAcentral.
AAGGGUGCGUAGGCGGCCUGUUAAGUCAGGGGUGAAAGACGGUAGCUCAACUAUCGCAGUGCCCUUGAUACUGAUGGGCUUGAAUUGACUAGAGGUAGGCGGAAUGUGACAAGUAGCGGUGAAAUGCAUAGAUAUGUCACAGAACACCGAUUGCGAAGGCAGCUUACUAUGGUCUUAUUGACGCUGAGGCACGAAAGCGUGGGGAUCAAACAGGAUUAGAUACCCCCUGU